Molecule: ribosomal RNA, 632 nt
Filed under: Trichoderma citrinoviride
Lineage: Eukaryota; Fungi; Ascomycota; Sordariomycetes; Hypocreales; Hypocreaceae
Description: eukaryotic LSU rRNA
Rfam family: 5.8S ribosomal RNA (bases 253-406)
Source: RNAcentral
UCUCCGUUGGUGAACCAGCGGAGGGAUCAUUACCGAGUUUACAACUCCCAAACCCAAUGUGAACGUUACCAAUCUGUUGCCUCGGCGGGAUUCUCUGCCCCGGGCGCGUCGCAGCCCCGGAUCCCAUGGCGCCCGCCGGAGGACCAACUCAAACUCUUUUUUCUCUCCGUCGCGGCCUACGUCGCGGCUCUGUUUUAUUUUUGCUCUGAGCCUUUCUCGGCGACCCUAGCGGGCGUCUCGAAAAUGAAUCAAAACUUUCAACAACGGAUCUCUUGGUUCUGGCAUCGAUGAAGAACGCAGCGAAAUGCGAUAAGUAAUGUGAAUUGCAGAAUUCAGUGAAUCAUCGAAUCUUUGAACGCACAUUGCGCCCGCCAGUAUUCUGGCGGGCAUGCCUGUCCGAGCGUCAUUUCAACCCUCGAACCCCUCCGGGGGGUCGGCGUUGGGGAUCGGCCCCUCACCGGGCCGCCCCCGAAAUACAGUGGCGGUCUCGCCGCAGCCUCUCCUGCGCAGUAGUUUGCACACUCGCACCGGGAGCGCGGCGCGGCCACAGCCGUAAAACACCCCAAACUCUGAAAUGUUGACCUCGGAUCAGGUAGGAAUACCCGCUGAACUUAAGCAUAUCAAUAAGCGGG